This is a long non-coding RNA of Phascolarctos cinereus (koala), 971 nucleotides long. RefSeq lists it as uncharacterized. The record is from RefSeq and is a predicted model, not a curated record. NCBI's taxonomy places the organism in Eukaryota, Metazoa, Chordata, Mammalia, Diprotodontia, Phascolarctidae.
UUGUAAACACUGAAGUGCUACAAAAAUGUGAACUUUUAUUAAACUCCAGUGGAAGAUUGGCUGGUGUAAUAAGUGAUGUUACAGGGCUGCUACACAUGAUCUCCAAAUAUUUAAAAUCUUGAGUAGCCCAAAGGGCAAUGGAAAGCCACAUGGAGAGUGUGAUAAGACAUCGAAUCAAUGACAAGGACAUGAAUGCCAUGAAAGACCUCAACAGAUACAUGUAUGACCAGAAAAGGAGAAUUCUUCCCCUAAAUGGCCAUACACAUACAAAGGAAUUGGAAGCAUUGGUGACCAGCAGUUCCUCACCUGAAGUAAGGAGUGGAAGCGAAGAUAAAGCUGGCACAGGGGCAGUAAUAACCAAGAAGCUCAUGAGACUCCAGACAGUUUCAAACUUAAGACCACUCCAAGGAGCACAGUCUAGUGCUUCAGGCUUCCUUUCAAGUUGUCAUAAAAGCAAAUGCAGGCUGCUUACAAACAAGCAGAACAAAGCACCCUCUAAAAGACUGAAGAAAGAUUGCUCUUCAGCAACCAGGCACUAAAUUGAAAUUGCCAAGCCCCAUGAUGAGCUGGUAACAGGGAUUUGUCAAGCCCUGAUCUGCAAGCUGCUCAGGUGUUCAGCAUCAUCAGUCCUGAUGUAUGCAAGAGCUCAUGUUUCACUUCAGUAACUAUUUAAUGGACGUUCCCCAAGUCUACAGUAUAAUCCUGAUCGCUAUGAAGAACAGCGGAGUAAAAAUAAGACACGAACCCUGUCUUACAGGAGCUGCCAAUCUCAAUGGAGAAGCAGGAGGAAAAGACCUAAAGGGCUUCUGCGUUUUGCAUCCAUUGAUGAAAGAAAGAAGGCAUCCCUUCUGCAUAGGCAGAGAAGUGCAGUGGAAAAGAGACUUCUACAUGCAGAGUCAGAGGAUGUGGGUUUGAAUCUCAGAUUUAGCUUCUUUCAAGUCCCUGCUUAAAUCCCACCUUCUACAGCAAGC